GAUGAAGAACGUAGCGAAAUGCGAUAAGUAAUGUGAAUUGCAGAGUUCAGUGAAUCAUCGAAUCUUUGAACGCACAUUGCGCCCGCCAGCAUUCUGGCGGGCAUGCCUGUUCGAGCGUCAUUUCAACCCUCGAGCCCCCCCGGGGGCCUCGGUGUUGGGGGACGGCACACCAGCCGCCCCCGAAAUGCAGUGGCGACCUCGCCGCAGCCUCCCCUGCGUAGUAGCACACACCUCGCACCGGAGCGCGGAGACGGUCACGCCGUAAAACGCCCAACUUCUUAGAGUUGACCUCGGAUCAGGUAGGAAUACCCGCUGAACUUAAGCAUAUCAAUAAGCGGAGGA
RNAcentral lists this unclassified non-coding RNA (342 nucleotides) under soil metagenome. Its description in RNAcentral is "partial contains 5.8S ribosomal RNA, internal transcribed spacer 2, and large subunit ribosomal RNA". The stretch from base 1 to 120 matches the Rfam family "5.8S ribosomal RNA", at positions 35 to 154 of the family's 154-position model. The record is from RNAcentral.